UCAGAGGUAGCAUAGUUGGUAAUGCGCCAGACCUUCUAAGCCGGUGACCCAAGUUCGAGCCUUGGCCUCUGAC
Non-coding RNA from Blepharisma stoltei, 73 nucleotides. NCBI's taxonomy places the organism in Eukaryota, Ciliophora, Heterotrichea, Heterotrichida, Blepharismidae. The record is from the annotation of a GenBank genome assembly.